UUCAGAGGUCUCGAGCGUUGUUCGGAUUUACUGGGCGUAAAGGGAGCGUAGGCGGCCGGGUGUGUCGAAUGUGAAAGCCCACAACUCAACUGUGGAAUGGCAUUCGAAACUACCUGGCUAGAGUACUGGAGAGGAGAGCGGAAUUCUUGGUGUAGCGGUGAAAUGCAUAGAUAUCACGAGGAACUCCGAUUGCGCAGGCAGCUUACUAAACUACUACUGACGCUCAUGCACGAAGGCGUGGGGAGUCAAACAGGA
This 255-nucleotide ribosomal RNA is filed under the name uncultured prokaryote. Its description in RNAcentral is "partial 16S ribosomal RNA". It matches the Rfam family "Bacterial small subunit ribosomal RNA", at positions 524 to 777 of the family's 1533-position model. The record is from RNAcentral.